GGAAUCUUGCGCAAUGGGCGAAAGCCUGACGCAGCCAUGCCGCGUGAAUGAUGAAGGUCUUAGGAUUGUAAAAUUCUUUCAGUAGGGACGAUAAUGACGGUACCUACAGAAGAAGCCCCGGCUAACUUCGUGCCAGCAGCCGCGGUAAUACGAAGGGGGCUAGCGUUGCUCGGAAUUACUGGGCGUAAAGGGAGCGUAGGCGGACAUUUAAGUCAGGGGUGAAAUCCCGGGGCUCAACCUCGGAAUUGCCUUUGAUACUGGGUGUUUUGAGUAUGAGAGAGGUAUGUGGAACUCCGAGUGUAGAGGUGAAAUUCGUAGAUAUUCGGAAGAACACCAGUGGCGAAGGCGACAUACUGGCUCAUUACUGACGCUGAGGCUCGAAAGCGUGGGGAGCAAACAGGAUUAGAUACCCGAG
This 415-nucleotide ribosomal RNA is filed under the name uncultured Brevundimonas sp. Its description in RNAcentral is "bacterial SSU rRNA". It matches the Rfam family "Bacterial small subunit ribosomal RNA", at positions 358 to 790 of the family's 1533-position model. Lineage: Bacteria; Pseudomonadati; Pseudomonadota; Alphaproteobacteria; Caulobacterales; Caulobacteraceae. The record is from RNAcentral.